Molecule: long non-coding RNA, 1196 nt
Filed under: Mus pahari (shrew mouse)
Lineage: Eukaryota; Metazoa; Chordata; Mammalia; Rodentia; Muridae
Description: RIKEN cDNA 2310005E17 gene (MGP_PahariEiJ_G0004361.1)
Source: RNAcentral
ACUCUACUCCCCCCUCUUCCUUUCACUUCCUUCAGUGAGAUUAACCUACUCCUCCAUCCUUCUAACCUGCCUUGCUGGGGAGCUGGAGGCAAAAGAAUGCUCCAGAAGAGACCUGUCUCCAUAGGGCAUCAUUCCUGGGUCUGCCUGAGGAUCCUCAUUAGCUGACCUGCCUGCAUGGUGAAAGACAUGACUUCUUGGUUUAUUCUCCCCAGCACUUGGAGAAAAAUCAGAGCAGUUCUCUGAAAAUAAGAACGAAGCCCCCUCUUCCUGGAGCCUUGCAGACUGUUGGAAGGAACCGAUGUGACUGUUUACUGCUUCCUGUGCCAUCCAUGCCCUUGCUCCAAGACCUUCUAACAGUGGAGGCCAGCUCUCCUCUCCUAGUGACAGUUCAUUCGCUUCGGAAGAGGCCAGUCUUUAUGUCAUACACACCGAGGAAGGUAAGGAUAGUGCCCAUGUCCCAAGAAACUGCAAGCUCUUGACAGCAGGCAUGGGAGUUAUCUUAGAAGAACAUGCCCUGGCCAGUGCUUGAAGCCUAGCCAACCUGAUAGAUCACUCCUGAACGUUUGCCCCAUAGAAACUGCAUGAUAAUGAACGUUUGUUGUUUUAAGUUCAGUGUGAGGGUGAAUUGUUACCAAGCAGUAUAUAACCCUAUAGACAGGGUAAUUGAAGAGGCUCCCCCUUAACCUCAUGGGCAAAAGUCACCUUGAUUUAUUUAUCACUUUGUGCAUUUCAAAGAAGAUAUGUGGGCCUCUCAAACCCUAUGAACAGAAUGGAUAACAUGCCAUUUCAGAAGCUAAUUGUCCCACAGCCCUGGUAGUGAGAGACCCUCCGGGACCAAAACGAAUGGGACAGCUUUUAGUGUCUCUCUCUCGCCAAGCAAGCGUUGUCCAUGUCCCUGUCUCAUAGACAUCUUCAACAGAAAGACCCUGGAAAUCAAUGCAAAGUAAAAGUGGGAGGAAAAAAGUCCCCAACUAUAAUUCUUCCUGAAGUGCUAUAUAACACUCCCGCAGCGCGCAGCCUCCCUGCCUCUUCUGGUUCUUAUAACACACAGGAGUUUACGGCCUUGGAUCUGGCCCAAAACUGUAGAUAGCCAUCAAUUUUGAGAACGUUCAUAUAUUCUGAACAGUGAAACUGUUCAUGGUUGUGGUGUUUAUGGCUGGGGUUUAAAUAGGAAGCUAAUAAAGAUAAAAACUGUU